RNAcentral lists this ribosomal RNA (906 nucleotides) under Staphylococcus aureus. Its description in RNAcentral is "partial 23S ribosomal RNA". It matches the Rfam family "Bacterial large subunit ribosomal RNA", at positions 322 to 1235 of the family's 2925-position model. The record is from RNAcentral. Lineage: Bacteria; Bacillati; Bacillota; Bacilli; Caryophanales; Staphylococcaceae.
GACGACAUUAGACGAAUCAUCUGGAAAGAUGAAUCAAAGAAGGUAAUAAUCCUGUAGUCGAAAAUGUUGUCUCUCUUGAGUGGAUCCUGAGUACGACGGAGCACGUGAAAUUCCGUCGGAAUCUGGGAGGACCAUCUCCUAAGGCUAAAUACUCUCUAGUGACCGAUAGUGAACCAGUACCGUGAGGGAAAGGUGAAAAGCACCCCGGAAGGGGAGUGAAAUAGAACCUGAAACCGUGUGCUUACAAGUAGUCAGAGCCCGUUAAUGGGUGAUGGCGUGCCUUUUGUAGAAUGAACCGGCGAGUUACGAUUUGAUGCAAGGUUAAGCAGUAAAUGUGGAGCCGUAGCGAAAGCGAGUCUGAAUAGGGCGUUUAGUAUUUGGUCGUAGACCCGAAACCAGGUGAUCUACCCUUGGUCAGGUUGAAGUUCAGGUAACACUGAAUGGAGGACCGAACCGACUUACGUUGAAAAGUGAGCGGAUGAACUGAGGGUAGCGGAGAAAUUCCAAUCGAACCUGGAGAUAGCUGGUUCUCUCCGAAAUAGCUUUAGGGCUAGCCUCAAGUGAUGAUUAUUGGAGGUAGAGCACUGUUUGGACGAGGGGCCCCUCUCGGGUUACCGAAUUCAGACAAACUCCGAAUGCCAAUUAAUUUAACUUGGGAGUCAGAACAUGGGUGAUAAGGUCCGUGUUCGAAAGGGAAACAGCCCAGACCACCAGCUAAGGUCCCAAAAUAUAUGUUAAGUGGAAAAGGAUGUGGCGUUGCCCAGACAACUAGGAUGUUGGCUUAGAAGCAGCCAUCAUUUAAAGAGUGCGUAAUAGCUCACUAGUCGAGUGACACUGCGCCGAAAAUGUACCGGGGCUAAACAUAUUACCGAAGCUGUGGAUUGUCCUUUGGACAAUGGUAGGAGA